UGGUGAACUGGAACUUAGAAGAGAUAUGC
This 29-nucleotide non-coding RNA is filed under the name Mus musculus (house mouse). The record is from RNAcentral. Lineage: Eukaryota; Metazoa; Chordata; Mammalia; Rodentia; Muridae.